ACCAGAGACAAACUCCAAGAUGGACAGUUCUAGACAGAAAUCUGCUUUGAGGUGCUCCAUCUGAUCCUGUUCAUCUGUACAUGUUUUCUUGGAGGAAAACAGUUCCUACAGACAGGCAGGGAAAGACAGCACUUAAAGCGGGAUGAGGUGAUUAAGACUGUAGUUUUACAGGCUGGCUGCUGCUCGGCAGAUGGAAAUUUUCCAGGCUGCCAGAAGAAAAGGGGAAGAAAAGGAAACCCGGAAGAAAGCGAAGGCAUGACUGCUGCCCCAGGGGAUCCGACGUAUGUAAAAAGGAAUGUACAAGCCCAAGUGCACUUGCCUCGCGUGCCUUCCCAACCCCACGGAUGUGGGCAGGACCGUACGGUUCUGGGUGUUAACCUCGCCAUAAAGCAGAAAUUCCCCCUAAUUUCACAGAAUCACGAAUUUACUGAGCUGGAGAGACCCACUCCUGGCCCUGCCUAGGCCGUGUCCUCUCGUCCUGACGCUGGUUGCCUGGGAGAAGAGCCCGACCCCCACCUGGCUGCAGCCUCCUUUCCAGCCUGGAUUCGGCAGGUGGAAGCCCGAGGGCCAGGACAGCCAGGCUGUGCCUGCAGCUGCUGCCCGCGGGCUGCCCAAGAGACUUCUGGAAAGCAGCAGUGAUGCCCUUAUGCAACAAAUAUCUGAAAGAUUUAAAGCACAGUUGUGUGCGCUGCUUCGAGGCAGCUGUUUCCAUGAGCAAAGCCCUGCUGCCUCCUGACGUGACCCAUGUCCGAGCAGGAUUUUAAAGGGAUCAUUUGCUCCAUGCUGUGCUACUGCCAGUCUCUGACCUUUAAUGCAAUUUGGCAAAUCAGAUGGCUCUGAUUACAAAAGCCUUUGAAACAUGCUGACACCUCGUGCUGUCUGCUGGAGACCAGAGUACUCGAAAACAGACAGAGCCAACGCAAUUUCCAUAGGAGCUUACGGAGGUUCUUAUGGAUCCUGACUCUACAUGCCCUUGGUCUCUGCUCCUUGAGACUCUUGUGAGCUGUUCAGCCUUUUGCCUUUCAGGUGAGUCACUUUGCACAGUUGCAUCUGUGCAUGAUUUUGUUCCCUCUCUCUCAUUUUGUGUUUUAGAUUGCUCCAAGCCUGUAUUUAAGUUCUCAUCUUUUUCUACACCACUGUGAAAUGACUGUUUUUCCAAUGCUUUUUGAUCCAUGUAUGGAAAUAAGCGAAAACAUGCUUGGUGCUGCAAAGAAAAAGGUUUUUCCUGCAGCACAGAACCAGCCAAAAUGCUUUGUAAGAGCACAUCUAAUUAUCUAAUCUCUCCCUUCUCUGGCCCCAUUCCCUUCCUCUCUGUGAUCAUCAUGCUCCAGCUAUGGUUGGCCAGAGUUCUCCCUUGCACAGAGCACAGUGUGUUGCCAAUACCACUGUUGUUUGCAGAUUUACAAGGUCUGGUUUUAAAUGCCCUUGCGACAAACAAAAACAUGUACAUGCUGCUUCUGUCUUAACAGUUGUUAACCCUAAAUCACAG
Molecule: long non-coding RNA, 1489 nt
Organism: Vidua macroura (Pin-tailed whydah)
Lineage: Eukaryota; Metazoa; Chordata; Aves; Passeriformes; Viduidae
Exons: 3
Source: RefSeq, a predicted model, not a curated record